GACGAACCGUGCGAACGUUGUUCGGAAUCACUGGGCUUAAAGAGCGCGUAGGCGGGCUAUCAAGUCCGGGGUGAAAUCCUCCAGCUCAACUGGAGAACGGCCUCGGAUACUGAUGGUCUCGAGGGGGAUAGGGGCACACGGAACUGUGGGUGGAGCGGUGAAAUGCGUUGAUAUCCAUAGGAACUCCGGUGGCGAAAGCGGUGUGCUGGAUCCCUUCUGACGCUGAGGCGCGAAAGCCAGGGGAGCAAACGGGG
This 254-nucleotide ribosomal RNA is filed under the name uncultured bacterium. RNAcentral's name for it is "partial 16S ribosomal RNA". It matches the Rfam family "Bacterial small subunit ribosomal RNA", at positions 524 to 777 of the family's 1533-position model. The record is from RNAcentral.